AUACGGAGGGUGCAAGCGUUGUUCGGAAUCACUGGGCGUAAAGGGCGCGCAGGCGGUUUGGUAAGUCAGAUGUGAAAGCCCAUGGCUCAACCAUGGAAGUGCAUUUGAAACUGUCAGACUUGAGUACUAAAGGGGAAAGUGGAAUUCCCGGUGUAGAGGUGAAAUUCGUAGAUAUCGGGAGGAAUACCGGUGGCGAAGGCGACUUUCUGGCUAGAUACUGACGCUGAGGCGCGAAAGCGUGGGGAGCAAACAGGAUUAGAAACCCUAGUAGUCC
Molecule: ribosomal RNA, 274 nt
Filed under: uncultured bacterium
Lineage: Bacteria
Description: partial 16S ribosomal RNA
Rfam family: Bacterial small subunit ribosomal RNA
Source: RNAcentral